This 669-nucleotide unclassified non-coding RNA is filed under the name Melitaea cinxia (Glanville fritillary). Its description in RNAcentral is "misc RNA ENSMCXG00005018115.1". The record is from RNAcentral. Lineage: Eukaryota; Metazoa; Arthropoda; Insecta; Lepidoptera; Nymphalidae.
GAUUACCUUGCUAUUAACACUGGACUCUGACUUGCAUUGCGUUUCGGAUUAAUAUUUUGGACAUUAUGAACAUUAUGAAGUGCAUCAACUGCGGAGUAGCCAUGCAAAGGUUGCAAAGGCAUCUCAUAUCCUCGCUUUCUGCACACGAUCAAAUAAGACUUUCGCGUUGGAUAAACAUGGAUCAAACACAGUUACCUCUGGAUACAUUUAUUUGUCAUCCAUGUUUCUUAUUAUUAAAUACCGAAACUGGUGAACAUGAGAGACUACUGGGGCAUAACAAGGUUUGCCUUGGUUGUGGCAAAUCUGUGAGCAAAAUAAGACACCAUAAUCUUAGCAUGGAGAGUCCAUUGCUGGCAGUCCUAUUAUCACAAAAUACUAAUUAUGUGCUCUCAAGAAACAACUAUGUUUGUCAUGUGUGUUGGAUGCGAGCAAAUAGACAGGCAGUGCAUGACUCAUCACGAGACAUUCAGGAAUUGGCUUCGAACAACAAUGCAGCAGCCCAUAUUGUUCAAGUGGUUAGACCUCCAGAACCACCACCAAUACCUCCUGUUCAAAAUAGGCCAAUUCAAAGAGAAAAUACUACCAUAUCAUUACCUAAUUAUAAGCGACCGUCAAUCACAUCUGUUUGCUGUAUAUUUCAGCAAUGCCGAAACAGAUCUUUACAUUUGG